UCGUAAAGGGUGCANGAGUGGUGUUUGGUUUGUUACGGGUGGUUGGCUCUUUGCUUUUGCACGAACUUCCACCUGGCAUACCUCUUCAGUCUUGUGUCAAUGCUUGUAUUGCAUUGAAUGACGGGUUUCUUGUGUUGCAUGCCUAGUUAAUGGUAUCGUUUGAUGAAUUGGUUUCCUUUUUCGUCUUGCCUCGCCUACGCGAUGUGUGAUGAACCUUGAAGCAGCCUUUGUGAUCCACACUUUUUGAUGCAUACGCAUUGAUGUUGUGGCCCAUUAAGUGUUGCUUGGUCUCAUGGAUAUGGAACCUGGUGUGGGCAUGGAAUCUUAAUGGUUCUUUGUUUGCCCAAGUUAAGCUUUUCUGAAACGAUCGUCUAUCAUGUGUUAACGUGGUAGACUACAUCGAAUAUGAAUGCUACC
RNAcentral lists this unclassified non-coding RNA (417 nucleotides) under Helichrysum alsinoides. RNAcentral describes it as "partial contains external transcribed spacer and 18S rRNA gene". The record is from RNAcentral. Lineage: Eukaryota; Viridiplantae; Streptophyta; Magnoliopsida; Asterales; Asteraceae.